Molecule: ribosomal RNA, 350 nt
Filed under: Staphylococcus aureus
Lineage: Bacteria; Bacillati; Bacillota; Bacilli; Caryophanales; Staphylococcaceae
Description: partial 23S ribosomal RNA
Rfam family: Bacterial large subunit ribosomal RNA
Source: RNAcentral
AAGUGAGAAUGCCGGUGUGAGUAGCGAAAGACGGGUGAGAAUCCCGUCCACCGAUUGACUAAGGUUUCCAGAGGAAGGCUCGUCCGCUCUGGGUUAGUCGGGUCCUAAGCUGAGGCCGACAGGCGUAGGCGAUGGAUAACAGGUUGAUAUUCCUGUACCACCUAUAAUCGUUUUAAUCGAUGGGGGGACGCAGUAGGAUAGGCGAAGCGUGCGAUUGGAUUGCACGUCUAAGCAGUAAGGCUGAGUAUUAGGCAAAUCCGGUACUCGUUAAGGCUGAGCUGUGAUGGGGAGAAGACAUUGUGUCUUCGAGUCGUUGAUUUCACACUGCCGAGAAAAGCCUCUAGAUAGAA